AAAGGGGCUUCGGCUCCGAGUAAAGUGGCGCACGGGUGAGUAACACGUGGGUAACCUGCCUCUAAGAUUGGGAUAACUCGUCGAAAGAUGAGCUAAUACCGAAUAAGACCACAGUUCCUGCGGGAACAGGGGUCAAAGGUAGCCUCUGCUUGCAAGCUAUCACUUAGAGAUGAGCCUGCGCACCAUUAGCUAGUUGGUAGGGUAACGGCCUACCAAGGCAAAGAUGGUUAGCUGGUCUGAGAGGAUGAUCAGCCACACUGGAACUGAGACACGGUCCAGACUCCUACGGGAGGCAGCAGUGGGGAAUAUUGCGCAAUGGGCGAAAGCCUGACGCAGCAACGCCGCGUGAGUAAUGAAGGCCUUCGGG
RNAcentral lists this ribosomal RNA (367 nucleotides) under uncultured bacterium. Its description in RNAcentral is "bacterial SSU rRNA". It matches the Rfam family "Bacterial small subunit ribosomal RNA", at positions 71 to 422 of the family's 1533-position model. The record is from RNAcentral.